Molecule: ribosomal RNA, 403 nt
Filed under: Fusobacteriota bacterium
Lineage: Bacteria; Fusobacteriati; Fusobacteriota
Description: Fusobacteria bacterium partial 16S ribosomal RNA
Rfam family: Bacterial small subunit ribosomal RNA
Source: RNAcentral
UGGGGAAUCUUGCACAAUGGGGGAAACCCUGAUGCAGCGACGCCGCGUGAGCGAUGAAGGUUUUCGAAUCGUAAAGCUCUGUCCUAUCGGAAGAUAAUGACGGUACCAUGGGAGGAAGCCCCGGCUAACUACGUGCCAGCAGCCGCGGUAAUACGUAGGGGGCGAGCGUUGUCCGGAAUUACUGGGCGUAAAGGGUUCGCAGGCGGCAUGGCAAGUCCGAUGUAAAAGGCGAAGGCUCAACCUUCGUAAGCAUCGGAAACUGUCAAGCUUGAGUGAAGGAGAGGCAAGUGGAAUUCCUAGUGUAGCGGUGGAAUGCGUAGAUAUUAGGAGGAAUACCGGUGGCGAAGGCGACUUGCUGGACUUCAACUGACGCUGAGGAACGAAAGCGUGGGUAGCAAACAGG